AAGUUUGCGGCGAGGGUUGGGGUCGCCGUGAGGGUUGCUGCAGCCGUGCCCGCGAAGAUGACCGCGCUCGUCCGCUCCGCGUUGCCUGGCGGCGGGCCCGGCCUUCCCCCGCCCUCCCCGGGGAGUGGGGGAGGAAGCAGGCGAGAGGCCGUGCGCCUCGCAAGCGGCUGUUGCGGCUCUCGGCCCGCAGCGCUCGGCUCCAAUCAGAGCCUGCGGCGCUUCAGUCGGGCGCGGCUCUGCCGUUUGACCUCGGCCGUGAUCUGCUGCCUCCUCAGCCUGCUCUGGGGGUUUGCUUUGCCCUUUGAAGGCCCCUGUUGUCCACGUUUCACCUUUUUGCUGCUCCAGCGGGUGUUUACCACAUGUAAUAACGUCAUAGGUCGGAUUUGUCUGUUACGUUCUGUAACUUAUCUCUACAGGACUGAAAGAAAAACUUUGAAGAGGCAGACCGGACUUAAAGUGGAUACAGGCACACAGAUGGCAGAUAACAGUAAAGCAGAAGAUACUGCUUCAGAUUCUGUGGAGGCUGCUAAAAAUGCAAGUGACAAAAAAGAAAAGCUGGCAGACCAGGUGAUGCAGAAUCCACAAGUCCUGGCAGCUCUACAGGAACGACUUGACAACACAGCACUUACCCCUUCAAGUUACAUUGAAACUUUACCAAAAGCAGUGAAAAGAAGAAUUGAUGCCUUGAAACAACUCCAGGUGAAAUGUGCCCACAUAGAAGCUAAAUUUUAUGAAGAAGUACAUGAUUUAGAGAGAAAAUAUGCAGCACUCUAUCAACCUCUUUUUGAUAAGAGGAGAGAGUUUAUUAAUGGAGAAGCAGAACCCACAGAUGCAGAGUCAGAAUGGCACAGUGAAAACGAGGAAGAAGAGAAGCUAGCAGGAGACCUGAAAAAUGUAGUGGUAAUAGAAGAAAAAGCAGAAGCAGAAGAGAUAAAUGUCAAAGGAAUUCCAGACUUCUGGUUUACUAUCUUUAGGAAUGUAGAUAUGCUAAGUGAAUUAGUACAAGAAUAUGAUGAACCAAUCUUGAAACACCUACAGGAUAUCAAAGUUAAGUUUUCUGAACCUGGACAGCCUAUGUCUUUCUCAUUAGAGUUCCACUUUGGGCCCAACGACUACUUUUCUAAUACAGUCCUGACAAAAACCUACAAGAUGAAGUCAGAGCCAGACAAGACGGAUCCCUUUUCAUUUGAAGGACCUGAAAUAGUUGAUUGUGAUGGGUGCACUAUUGACUGGAAGAAAGGAAAGAAUGUUACAGUUAAAACAAUCAAGAAGAAACAGAAGCACAAGGGUCGAGGCACAGUUCGGACAAUUACUAAACAAGUACCUAACGAUUCUUUUUUUAACUUCUUCAGCCCAAUAAAGGUAUCUGGUGAUGGGGAGUCAUUGGAUGAAGAUUCAGAGUUCACUUUAGCUGCAGACUUUGAAAUUGGGCACUUCUUCCGUGAAAGGAUAGUCCCACGUGCUGUGCUUUAUUUCACAGGGGAAGCUAUAGAGGAUGAUGAUAAUUUUGAAGAAGGUGAAGAAGGUGAAGAGGAGUUUAUCUCUAUUUUGUCAUAGGAGUUGGAGGGGGAAGAGGAGGGAGAAGAAGAGGAAGAUGCAGAGAGUGAUCCUAAGGUGUAAUUUAAGUCUGUUUAUCAUUCAUACAUUUCUAGAAAGAUUCCAGCCAACCUGCUGAAUGCAAACAACAGUAAUAAGGAAAUACCACUUCAAAGUGAUAUUUGAACAACAUGUAACAAAUAUUUGGAUACCUGGCCUGCAGUUCAGGAUACUUCAUCGCUGCAGCACAAUCUUAUUAACAAUGCUUAAAAUUAAUUUGUUUUAAAAUGCAUGAUUUUCACUAACUUUUCUUUAUUGCUUAACAUGUACAGUGGCAAUUUCAAUGCAUUUGGGAAAUAAGAGGUUUAAAUAAAGCACACUCUACAGCCGUUGGUACACUGUAGCUUAGUAUGUCAGUAGGCCUUUAGGGCCUUUUACCCUAUGCAUAGGGGAAUAGUCCAGACUACCAAGUGAAGAUUCUCCAUUUUCUUGUUAACCUUGAAAACUGUGGAGUAGCAAUGUGCUGAGAAGCUAAAGUGAAUGGAUUACAUGUAUGGUAGCUGAAACAGAGCAAUAUGAACUUUUUGCUAGUUCCCCCCCCCCCCCCCCUUUUUUUUUUUUUUUAAUGUUUCUUGCAACCUACAAAUCAAACUAGUGCUUGAGCAGCUUUAAAUGUCAUAUUUAUUAUCUCAGUAAAACCAAUCGAAUUGAAGUAAUUUUACUUCAUGGAAGGGGUGUCAUAUUUGAGACUUAGUUGUUCAUCUUACUAUUUAUUUAUUCAUGUUUGUAAGUACUUUGACAGAAUUAGUGCUCUUUAAUAGUUUUUAAUAUACUUGAAAAUAUUCUUCCUGUUUUGCAUAAAAUAUGGGUACUUGUAAAACAGUUUUUUUAAAUUGGUUUCAAUGUAAUAGCCUAAACAGAAGAAAUGAACUUACAUCAGAAUGACAACUCUUCUGGAUGGAGAUGAAAACAUAAAGGCCAAACUGUUGCUGUUGAUGGAAGUGGGUUGCAGCCAAAGAACCAGACAAGUUCCAGUAGUCUUAUCGCUUAGUGUCCAGCAUGGAAAGACCUUACACUCCGAACACAGAAGCUUAAUGAAAUUCAAUUCAAUAAAUCUGAAGUUUUGGUGUCUUACUUGCAACACUGAAAUUAUUUCAUUCCACAGUUUGUUUUAUUUAAAGCUCUGAAGUCUUCAGAACUACUUCCUGUUGUUGUGCGGCACUUCAGGUACAUGUUUCUAGUUUCAGCAUCCAUUGCCAACCUCUGGCAGCAAUUGAAUAGCAGCUGUAUCAACACUGUGACCAGGCAUGUAGAGUGCUCCAGCCUUACCUUACACAUUUGUAACUUAAUACGGUGUUUUCAAUUUGUACAGAAUAGAUAGAAUAUUCUAUUAAAGUUGUGAAACAUUAA
This is an RNA transcript of Lagopus muta (rock ptarmigan), 2946 nucleotides long. It is a transcript of the gene named nucleosome assembly protein 1 like 4, with no coding region annotated. The transcript is spliced from 17 exons. The record is from RefSeq and is a predicted model, not a curated record. Lineage: Eukaryota; Metazoa; Chordata; Aves; Galliformes; Phasianidae.